GGAUCCACUCCGAGCCAUAUCUGGGAAUGAAGGUCCCCAAACUUGCCCACUGGAAAUUCCAGCGGUCCCAAUAUGAUGCUGAAGGCCUGGAGGAUUCCCAGAUUGACAUGGCAACAAGAUAGAUGGUACCAGGUAAGCCAUUAAUGUCAAUCUUACAGGUCUUAUUGCUACUAAUCAUUGUGCCUUCCAACUCACAAGGUAUCCCCUUGCUGUGCAUUCCAUCCCAGUUCACUACCAGUUGGAGCUUUUCCUGCUGGACCCCACUGUCUCGUGCUGGGGAUACCUGAGCAGCCUGCUGAUAGUAAACAUGAGCCGUGGCCUGCACUGCCUGAAAAGCCAGCGGGAGGACACAGCAAGCCGUAGGCAUGAGACAACACUCAGCGGAGGCAUGCUGGCAUCCCUAAGGCCUGACCCGGGCCUGAAUCUCAGCUCACAGA
This is a long non-coding RNA of Grammomys surdaster, 437 nucleotides long. RefSeq lists it as uncharacterized. NCBI's taxonomy places the organism in Eukaryota, Metazoa, Chordata, Mammalia, Rodentia, Muridae. The record is from RefSeq and is a predicted model, not a curated record. The transcript is spliced from 3 exons.